Long non-coding RNA from Passer montanus (Eurasian tree sparrow), 706 nucleotides. RefSeq lists it as uncharacterized. Lineage: Eukaryota; Metazoa; Chordata; Aves; Passeriformes; Passeridae. The transcript is spliced from 3 exons. The record is from RefSeq and is a predicted model, not a curated record.
CGGCUCAGGCGGGCCUGGGGGCAAGGAGCGGCUCAGGCGGGCCGGGCUCCCUCGCCAUGAGGGGCCGCCGCCGCCAUGAGGCCUUCAGCCGAUGGGGGAUCGCGGUGACCCGCAGCUGUCGGUGGCCGGCAGCAGCCCUGAGGUGGCCCGACCUUGUCGUGUGUGAAACGCCCAAGCUGUGCUGUUCUGUGCUGGGACAGCCAAGGAGGCUCUCCAGGAGGGCACUUGAACCUGUGGAGAGGCGAUGAGAAGGAAUAACCUGCCUGUGAGAGACAGGGAGAGCUCUGGAGCCACGCGGGUGAGGUAAAUUGUUGGUGUGAGGCUUGCUGGAGCAGCAGGAGUGGUCAGAAGUAAAGCUGUCGAUGCUGCUUUGAAGAUCCUUGUUUGAAAGGUAUUGAGAAGAUGGAAACCUGGAGCCCACAGUUUAAAUGAGGCAGCUGGAGAAGAAUUUGUUUUCAGGAUGUGGAUGUAGGAAUUGGAAACAUCAAAGGUGAUUUGGGGCAAAGUAUAACAAGAAUUAUGUGUAGAGUUUAUUGUUAAUCUCCUCUCAUUGCUUUUUUGGAAAUACAUUUUUAUAUGACCUCAAUUAAACGUAUUUAUAUUUAAGCUUGCUCAGUUUGCUUUUCAUUAUCUUACAAGGCUGUUGGAUGCAGCAGAAUUUGAGUGAAGACUGGAGAGGCUGUAGUGAGGCACCAGCUCUCAUCCC